RNAcentral lists this ribosomal RNA (441 nucleotides) under uncultured bacterium. RNAcentral's name for it is "partial 16S ribosomal RNA". It matches the Rfam family "Bacterial small subunit ribosomal RNA", at positions 338 to 795 of the family's 1533-position model. The record is from RNAcentral.
CCUACGGGCGGCAGCAGUGGGGAAUAUUGGACAAUGGGCGCAAGCCUGAUCCAGCCAUGCCGCGUGAGUGAUGAAGGCCCUAGGGUUGUAAAGCUCUUUCGACGGGGACGAUAAUGACGGUACCCGUAGAAGAAGCCCCGGCUAACUUCGUGCCAGCAGCCGCGGUAAUACGAAGGGGGCUAGCGUUGUUCGGAAUCACUGGGCGUAAAGCGCACGUAGGCGGAUUAUUAAGUCGGGGGUGAAAUCCCGAGGCUCAACCUCGGAACUGCCUUCGAUACUGGUAAUCUUUGAGUCCGGGAGAGGUGAGUGGAACUCCGAGUGUAGAGGUGAAAUUCGUAGAUAUUCGGAAGAACACCAGUGGCGAAGGCGGCUCACUGGCCCGGUACUGACGCUGAGGCGCGAAAGCGUGGGGAGCAAACAGGAUUAGAUACCCCGGUAGUC